UAGAUGGUAUCUACAUGAACCAUACUAAAUAGUUUCGUAACUUAGCAUACUAAGCUUAAGAUCUUAAAUUACCGUAAAGAAGAUAAACAAAAAGCCGCUUUAAGCCUAAUGGCAAGAGACGGAAAU
This is a non-coding RNA of Desulfitibacter sp. BRH_c19, 126 nucleotides long. The record is from Rfam. NCBI's taxonomy places the organism in Bacteria, Bacillati, Bacillota, Clostridia, Neomoorellales, Desulfitibacteraceae.